GACAGGUGGUGCAUGGUUGUCGUCAGCUCGUGUCGUGAGAUGUUGGGUUAAGUCCCGCAACGAGCGCAACCCCUGCCUUUAGUUGCAAACAGUUUGGCUGUGCACUCUAGAGGGACUGCCGAUGAGAAAUCGGAGGAAGGUGGGGAUGACGUCAAAUCAUCAUGCCCUUUAUGUCCUGGGCUACACACGUGCUACAAUGGUCGGUACAACGGGUUGCCACCUCGCGAGAGGGCGCUAAUCCCACAAAGCCGAUCCCAGUUCGGAUUGUAGGCUGCAAUUCGCCUACAUGAAGCUGGAGUUGCUAGUAAUCGCGAAUCAGAAUGUCGCGGUGAAUACGUUCCCGGGUCUUGUACACACCGCCCGUCACACCAUGGAAGUUGACAAUACCCGAAGCCAGUGAGCCAACCAUUUGGAGGCAGCUGUCGAAGGUAGGGCCAAUGACUGGGGUGAAGUCGUAACAAGGUAGCCGUAUCGGAAGGUGCGGCUGGAUCACCUCCUUU
Molecule: ribosomal RNA, 500 nt
Filed under: Anaerosalibacter bizertensis
Lineage: Bacteria; Bacillati; Bacillota; Tissierellia; Tissierellales; Sporanaerobacteraceae
Description: bacterial SSU rRNA
Rfam family: Bacterial small subunit ribosomal RNA
Source: RNAcentral